ACCGUCCGGAUGUCCUCAAAGAUG
RNAcentral lists this non-coding RNA (24 nucleotides) under Arabidopsis thaliana (thale cress). Lineage: Eukaryota; Viridiplantae; Streptophyta; Magnoliopsida; Brassicales; Brassicaceae. The record is from RNAcentral.